GGGCAGGUAUGCAAGCGGUUAAAGCGGAGUCCGGAAAACUCGCAAUUAUCAACUUGAAGCGCUACGUGGUUGAUAAUGUUCGAUGGUUCGAAUCCAUCCUUGCCCACCA
This 109-nucleotide transfer RNA is filed under the name Bacteroides sp. RNAcentral's name for it is "tRNA-OTHER". Lineage: Bacteria; Pseudomonadati; Bacteroidota; Bacteroidia; Bacteroidales; Bacteroidaceae. The record is from RNAcentral.